GGGCCGUUAGCUCAGUUGGUAGAGCAGCUGACUCUUAAUCAGCGGGUCGUAGGUUCGAAUCCUACACGGCUCA
This 73-nucleotide transfer RNA is filed under the name Nitrospiraceae bacterium. RNAcentral's name for it is "tRNA-Lys". It matches the Rfam family "tRNA". Rfam says of the family: Transfer RNA (tRNA) molecules are approximately 80 nucleotides in length. Their secondary structure includes four short double-helical elements and three loops (D, anti-codon, and T loops). Lineage: Bacteria; Pseudomonadati; Nitrospirota; Nitrospiria; Nitrospirales; Nitrospiraceae. RNAcentral also lists the same sequence under 3 other names. The record is from RNAcentral.